AUGAUCAGCAAAGUGGAACUU
This 21-nucleotide microRNA is filed under the name Marchantia polymorpha subsp. ruderalis. The record is from RNAcentral. Lineage: Eukaryota; Viridiplantae; Streptophyta; Marchantiopsida; Marchantiales; Marchantiaceae.